Rhipicephalus sanguineus (brown dog tick) is the source of this 225-nucleotide long non-coding RNA. RefSeq lists it as uncharacterized. The record is from RefSeq and is a predicted model, not a curated record. Lineage: Eukaryota; Metazoa; Arthropoda; Arachnida; Ixodida; Ixodidae. The transcript has 3 exons.
ACUUAAAACCUUGGACUCAUCCGGAUGGUUGUUUAGAAUCAACUACGCUGCGUAAUGGGAGAGUACUGGCAAUAAACUGCACUGAAAUCUGUAAGAAUAACACGAGGCAAAGGCUAAAGAAUGGCACUCCGUGUUUGCUCAACUACGUACGCAAAGUCAAGGUGCCUACUGUGUCUGAGAAUAUUGCGGAAGGAAUAUGCAAGAACGGAGAGUGUAUAAUACUUC